GGGGGUGUAGUGGAUUCGACGGGAUGAGUAGAAUCGCAGGCUGCAUGCCGAGUUUGAGCGAUGACACUCGUAAAAAACAUCAUGCAUUAAAUGUAGUUGACAACAACUAUUCUUAUAGCUUAGCUGCGUAACGCAGCUUUGCCGUUCCCUCGGCUUCUUGCCUGUCAGUGCCGUGUGGAGCGCCGACUAUGAUAGGAUAGCGUAGCAUCUUGCCUUUCGUCAGGUGCGGCGUAAAAUUUAUACGAAAUAGUCUGCAGUUGUGUGUUACUGAGCGUUGCUGUAGGCGAAACUUAAUUCAGUAACUAAGCAUGUAGAUGUUUGAACGAUAUACCAUUUCGGACCGGGGUUCGAUUCCCCGCACCUCCACUU
This 369-nucleotide transfer-messenger RNA is filed under the name Fodinibius salsisoli. It matches the Rfam family "transfer-messenger RNA". Rfam says of the family: Bacterial tmRNA, also known as 10Sa RNA or SsrA, is named for its dual tRNA and mRNA-like properties. Its role is to liberate the mRNA from a stalled ribosome. The record is from RNAcentral. Lineage: Bacteria; Pseudomonadati; Balneolota; Balneolia; Balneolales; Balneolaceae.